AACGGCCAUACCAUGCUGAAUAUACCGGUUCUCGUUAGAUCACCGCAUUUAAAAACAUCAUUGGGCGCGGUCAGUACUUUCUGGGUGACCACCUGGGAACACCGCGUGCCGUUG
This is a non-coding RNA of Caerostris darwini, 114 nucleotides long. The record is from the annotation of a GenBank genome assembly. NCBI's taxonomy places the organism in Eukaryota, Metazoa, Arthropoda, Arachnida, Araneae, Araneidae.